CUCCAACGAAUUGCCGCCAUCGAGCGCCAUCA
Molecule: non-coding RNA, 32 nt
Filed under: Geobacter sulfurreducens PCA
Lineage: Bacteria; Pseudomonadati; Thermodesulfobacteriota; Desulfuromonadia; Geobacterales; Geobacteraceae
Source: RNAcentral